GAUGAACGCUGGCGGCGUGCCUAACACAUGCAAGUCGAGCGGGAAUAUAUGAGGUGCUUGCACCAUAUAUAUUUUAGCGGCGGACGGGUGAGUAACGCGUGGGCAACCUGCCCUGUACAGCAGGAUAACACUUAGAAAUAGGUGCUAAUACUGCAUAAGCUUACGGUACAGCAUUGUACAGUAAGAAAAGAUUUAUCGGUACAGGAGGGGCCCGCGUCUGAUUAGCUAGUUGGCAGGGUAACGGCCUACCAAGGCGACGAUCAGUAGCCGACCUGAGAGGGUGACCGGCCACAUUGGGAC
This 300-nucleotide ribosomal RNA is filed under the name uncultured bacterium. RNAcentral describes it as "bacterial SSU rRNA". It matches the Rfam family "Bacterial small subunit ribosomal RNA", at positions 28 to 319 of the family's 1533-position model. The record is from RNAcentral.